GACGAACGCUGGCGGCGUGCUUAACACAUGCAAGUCGAACGGAAAGGCCCUGCUUUUGUGGGUUGCUCGAUUGGCGAACGGGUGAGUAACACGUUAGUAACCUGCCCUUUACUUUGGGAUAACUUCAGGAAACUUGGGCUAAUACCUGAUAGGAUCUCCUGCUGCAUUGUGGGGGUUGGAAAUUUUCGGCGGUUGGGGAUGGACUCGCGGCUUAUCAGCUUGUUGGUGGGGUAGUGGCUUACCAAGGCUUUGACGGGUAGCCGGCCUGAGAGGGUGACCGGCAACAAUGGGACUGAGAUAGGGACCAGAAUGCUACGGGAGGCAGCAGUGGGGAAUAUUGCAAAAUGGGCGGAAGCCUGAUGCAGAAACGCCGCGUGCGGGAUGACGGCCUUCGGGUUGUAAACCGAUUUAGAAUGUGACGAAGCGUGAGUGACGGUAAUGGGUAAAGAAGCACCGGCUAACUACGUG
RNAcentral lists this ribosomal RNA (468 nucleotides) under uncultured bacterium. RNAcentral's name for it is "partial 16S ribosomal RNA". It matches the Rfam family "Bacterial small subunit ribosomal RNA", at positions 28 to 507 of the family's 1533-position model. The record is from RNAcentral.